UAGGGAAUCUUCCGCAAUGGGCGAAAGCCUGACGCAGCAACGCCGCGUGAGUGAUGAAGGUCUUCGGAUCGUAAAACUCUGUUAUUAGGGAAGAACAAAUGUGUAAGUAACUAUGCACGUCUUGACGGUACCUAAUCAUAAAGCCACGGCUAACUACGUGCCAGCAGCCGCGGUAAUACGUAGGUGGCAAGCGUUAUCCGGAAUUAUUGGGCGUAAAGCGCGCGCAGGCGGUUUUUUAAGUCUGAUGUGAAAGCCCACGGCUCAACCGGGGAGGGUCAUUGGAAACUGGAAAACUAGAGUGCAGAAGAGGAAAGGGGAAUUCCAUGGGUAGCGGUGAAAUGCGCAGAGAUAUGGAGGAACACAAGUGGCGAAGGCAAAUUUCUGGUCUGUAACUGACGCUGAUGAGCGAAAGCGUGGGGAGCAAACAGG
RNAcentral lists this ribosomal RNA (429 nucleotides) under Actinomycetes bacterium. RNAcentral describes it as "Actinobacteria bacterium partial 16S ribosomal RNA". It matches the Rfam family "Bacterial small subunit ribosomal RNA", at positions 355 to 776 of the family's 1533-position model. The record is from RNAcentral. Lineage: Bacteria; Bacillati; Actinomycetota; Actinomycetes.